Molecule: transfer RNA, 81 nt
Filed under: Xylaria sp. FL1777
Lineage: Eukaryota; Fungi; Ascomycota; Sordariomycetes; Xylariales; Xylariaceae
Description: tRNA-Ser
Rfam family: tRNA
About the family: Transfer RNA (tRNA) molecules are approximately 80 nucleotides in length. Their secondary structure includes four short double-helical elements and three loops (D, anti-codon, and T loops).
Source: RNAcentral
GGCAACGUGGCUGAGUGGUUAAAGCGUAUGACUCGAAAUCAUAUCCCUUCGGGGUCGUAGGUUCAAAUCCUGCCGUUGUCG